Pongo abelii (Sumatran orangutan) is the source of this 147-nucleotide unclassified non-coding RNA. It matches the Rfam family "Metazoan signal recognition particle RNA". Rfam says of the family: The signal recognition particle (SRP) is a universally conserved ribonucleoprotein. It is involved in the co-translational targeting of proteins to membranes. The record is from Ensembl. NCBI's taxonomy places the organism in Eukaryota, Metazoa, Chordata, Mammalia, Primates, Hominidae.
GCCAGAUGUGGUGGUGCACUCCUGUAAUCCAGCUACUCAGGAGGCUGAGGCAGGAGGAUUGCUUGAGCCCAGGAGAUCAAGGCUGCAGUGAACCAAGAUUGCACCACUGCACUCCAGCCUGGGUAAAAGAGCAAGACCUUGUCUCAA